Molecule: long non-coding RNA, 660 nt
Organism: Monopterus albus (swamp eel)
Lineage: Eukaryota; Metazoa; Chordata; Actinopteri; Synbranchiformes; Synbranchidae
Exons: 3
Source: RefSeq, a predicted model, not a curated record
CAAUCAUGCAAGUAAUUUCUCUGCAGACAAGAAGUGUUAAGAAACAGCAGUGGUGUAAAAUGCAGUAAACUGGGAAACUGGGACAUGUGGGAACAGGCAGCCUGGGUAUCGACCUACAUCACGGUGUGGGUGGACAUCCUAUUUCCUGCCAGCACGCUUGUUUUAAUUUGUUCUUGCUGUUAGUUAUUGAGUGUGUGUGUGUGUUGUGUAGGUGAGAGGGGACAGGGAGUGCUAUGGAGAUGAUACGCCUUCUCCUCUGUGGUUCUUUCAGGAUUUGAUUUGAUCCCCGGCUGCUCCGAGGUUGGUCCAUGGGAACGCCAUUAGAAGGUCAUAUCUGCAUAAUAACACACACAGAGGCACAGCAGUCUGACGUGGAUUUAGAGGCGGAAGGUGGGCGGACUGGAAUCCUACCUGCCUACCUGCUCCAUGUAGCUUUCAACCAUAAGACAUGGAGCAUAGCAGCAGAGUUUUCCAGAGAUGGGAGUAAGUCACACAUGUAAAGCCUCCCACGCCCCGUGUGUCCACCCACGCACGGAUUUGCGUCACGCAGGGAGCAGCGUGGGCGAGAGAGAGAGCGAGCGAGAGAUAGAGAUAGAGAGAGCGGAAUAUCCCACUUUAUUCUGCUGCUGCGUCAAGCUGCGUGCGACAAGGACGUGGCAG